This 100-nucleotide ribosomal RNA is filed under the name Bacillus subtilis. RNAcentral describes it as "partial 23S ribosomal RNA". It matches the Rfam family "Bacterial large subunit ribosomal RNA", at positions 2828 to 2925 of the family's 2925-position model. Lineage: Bacteria; Bacillati; Bacillota; Bacilli; Caryophanales; Bacillaceae. The record is from RNAcentral.
UAAGAUCCCUGAAAGAUGAUCAGGUUGAUAGGUCUGAGGUGGAAGUGUGGCGACACAUGGAGCUGACAGAUACUAAUCGAUCGAGGACUUAACCAUAUUU